Hypanus sabinus (Atlantic stingray) is the source of this 6019-nucleotide long non-coding RNA. RefSeq lists it as uncharacterized. The transcript has 3 exons. The record is from RefSeq and is a predicted model, not a curated record. NCBI's taxonomy places the organism in Eukaryota, Metazoa, Chordata, Chondrichthyes, Myliobatiformes, Dasyatidae.
UUUUGUUGCAUGUCGUACCCUUACCAACAGACCAAAGUAAAUUCUUAAUACAUGCCUCACCCACUCAUACACAGACAAGCCUCCAUCUUCAGGACAGACCACCUCUGGGCCAGUCAUUGGCCCCAGUCACACAUACACUGGGUCUUUGACCUUUGGAGAACACAACCCAGUGCCUUUACCACUGGACUUGCAGACUUUGGUAAAUGCAUGCUGGUUUACACAUGUUUUAUUCCAUAGCUGUCCUUUAGUAACUAACUUUAUUUUUAAUAUACUUCUUUAUUCUUGUUGGAUGUUGUUUUCGUUACAUAUCACACCCUGACCAACACAUCACAGCAAAUUCCAAGUGUGUGUAAAUGUAUAUGGUGAAUAAAGUUGAUCCUUGAUACAUUUCAGUGAUUGUGAUCAAGGAAUCAAUAUUGGCUAAGAAAUUAUCCACUAUUCUUCUUGAAAAUAGUGGCUAUGGGCCCGUUUUCAUAUUGGUCUGAGAAAAAACAAGAUCUUUAAGAUCAUAAACACAAGAAAUUCCCCCCACCCAGCUCCCCAUUACCUCUUUUCUUCUCCUCGUCUGCCCAACACCUCCCUCUGGUGCCUCUUCUCCUUCCAUGGUCUGCUCUGCUCUCCCAUCAGAUCUCUUCUUCUUUACCCUUUACCUUUUCCAUCUACCACCCCCCAACCCACUUGGCUUCACCUAUCACAUUCUAGUUUCCCCACCAUCCCCUCUCCCACCUUUGUAUUCUGCAUUCCUCCCCCAUCCUUAUCAGUCCUGAUGAAAGGUCUCCACCCGAAGCAACAACUGUUUAUCUCUCUCCAUAGAUGCUGCCUGACCUGCUGAGUUCCUCCAGCAUUUUGUGAGUGUUACUCUUUGUUUAAGAUCCCAUCUGACAGAUCGUACGAUGAUCCCUCAGCGUCAAGCUGUAUGGAGCUAACCUCAAUAUUUGGAGCGGGAUUCGAACCAGAAACUUGCUGAUUAAAAGGCAAUAGAGCAACCUAUUCAAGGAUCUACUUUACUAGCCAUAUACAUUUACAUGUAUUAGGAAUUUGCUGUGGAGUGUUGGCAUGGCAUUCAACAAUUAUAAAAAAUAAUAUAAAGUUAGUGAUUAAGGGACAGAUGUGGAACAAAAUGUACAUAUAUAUCAGUUUGUAUUCACAACGUAAACAGCAUUGUGAAAAGUGGUUUAAAGUGUUUACAGUACAGAGUAGUGAUGGGGUAAUAGGUCGAAGAUGGGAGAGGGCUAACUAGAAUGGUUGGUCAGAUUGACAGAACCGGGGGAAGACUCUUUUAAGAUAUAGUGAAGUUUUUUGUUUUAACAGCUCUCCAGAAGGGAGCUUUUGGAAUAUGAAGUUUACUGGGUGGGCAAUGUCUGCAAUGAUUUUUCCUUUGGCUAGACUCCUUCCCCUCCCCCACCUCCUUAUUCUGGCAGCUUUCCCCUUCCUUCUCAGUCCUGAAGAAGGGUCCCAGCCUGAAGCGUCUGAUGUAUAUUUCCCCUCCAUAGGUGCUGCCUGACCUGCUGAAUUCCUCCUGCAUUUUGUCUGUGUUGGUCUGGAUUUCCAGCAUCAGCAGACUUUCUGGUGUUUAUGAUUUUUCCUGCAGCUCUGUCCUGUGCCGCCAGUGACCGUUUCUAAAGGCCCGACCGCCGCAGCUAACACUCAGCACACAGGAGCUCAGCAGAACCUGACCUCACAAAACACAACACCUCAGAUUGAGCAGGGCCAGGACACGUUACCAUGUGAAACUUACUAUACAAAGGAUGAUCACGCAGUUCAUUAGUUUUGUAGAUUUUCUACCAUGUUAUCCCACAAGCAGAAUUCACUGCUAUUCCUACAAAACCGUUCCAACGCUUCCCUUGGCAGGAGGGGCAACCUUUUUUGGGCCACAGUUGUCUAGCAGAGUCCAACUACAUAAAGGUAUUAAUUCACCUCUUCAGCACCCUUCCCCCACCCAGAAUCCACCCUCUGGUCGUCAGUCUCCCGCCAUUCGCUGAAGCCGCUGGAAAAAACAACAUGACUGGUCAGCGGCACACAGAGUUUGUAAAGUUCCCACAACACUGUUCCCUUCUGUACGGUUUUUUUUAAUUAUUUACCCAAAGGCUGCGCACAGCUGUCUUGCAGCUCUGUUUUGCAACGCGUUCCUCCAGCAGCGGAGACCCCCAGAUGCGGAGCCGCUGGGGAGCUGGAACUGUUUACGCUGGGCAGCGGCUGACCUCUCCCUGCGCUGCCAAGGCGCUCACCGGGGCCUGCCCAUCGCCUUAAUGACUUGCACAGCUGCGAAAGGGACUCGGGUUUCAGGCUCCAUGACCAACGGCAGCAGGUGGGCUGGACUGCAAGUAGCCCAGAGAGGGAAAGAUCCAAGAGUCUUCUUUCCAAGACACCGGGGAAUUUAAUUCCAUGCCUAACGGACAGUGGCCCUCCUUUUGACUGAACGGUGUGUCUACCCAGAACAGAUUAUACUGCUACUUUCAGGCCACAUUUCUGCAUUCAGAAAGUUCACAGUAAACUUAUUAUCAAGGUCUAUUCUGUACACCUGUCAACAUACAACACCCUCAGAUUCAUUUUCUUGCGGACAUUUACAGUAGAAUAAAGAAAUACAAUCGAAUCAAAGACUGACAGGCAACUGAUGUGCAAAAGGAGUCAAAUCGUGCAAAUACAAAUAAAUAAAACUGCGAACAGAGUCACUGAAAGCGAGAUCAGAGGUUGUGUUCAGUGAUCAGUUCAUGUUGAGGACAAGGCUGGACAUUAAGAAUUUCAGGUACUGCAGGUCUACCCCACCAGCGAGGAGGUCAAUGGCGGAAGGGCUGGACUUGCUGCAGGCCUUGUUACUGCCCGCCGCAGGAAGGCAUCGGAAUCAGUGCACGAAGUGCUGUCAAACAGUACAGUAGGAAUCCGAACAGGAGGAAUAAGAGGAAUAAUUCCUUGGCAUGCACAACACCGAGGAUCUCACAUGGUCUGUACAUACCGCCCGUGUGGUGAAAAAGACACAACAGCGCCUCUUUCACCUCUGACAGUUGAAGAAAUUUGGCGUGGGCCCUCAAAUCCUAAGUUUCUACAGGUAUACAAUUGAGAGCAUUGUGACUGGAUGCAUCACUGCCUGGUAUGAGAACUGUACUUCCUUCAAUCGCAGAACUCUGCAGAGAGUGGUGCGGACAGCCCAGAACAUCUGUAGAUGUGAACUUCCCACUAUUCAGGACAUUUACAAAGACUGGUGUGUAAAAAGGGCCCAAAGGAUCACUGGGGACCCGAGUCACCCUAGCCACAAACUGUUCCAGCUGCUACCAUCCGGGAAACGGUACAGCAGCAUAAAAGCCAGGACCAACAGGCUUCGGGACAGCUUCUUCCACCAGAUCAUCAGACUGAUUAACUCAUGCUGAUACAAUUGUAUUUCUAUGCUGUAUUGACUGUCCUGUUGUACAUACCAUUGAUUACAAAUUACUAUAAAUUGUACAUUACACAUUUAGACAGAGACGUAACAUAAAGAUUUUUACUCCUUAUGUCUAUGAAGGAUGAGAGUAACAGUCAAUUCAAUUCAAUGAUUGGAAUGGAAUAGAAUAAAAUAAAAUAUAAUAAAUAAAUCAACCAAUCAAUCAAGGGUAUAUCCUUCACCACCACUGGUGGCAUCUACAGGAAGCACUGCCUUAAGAAGGUAACAUCCAUCAAAGAACCCCAGCAUCCGGACAUCAUCUUGCUUUGCAUGAGGCACAGAAGCCUAAAGACCCUGAUCACCAGGUUCAAAGACAGCCAAGAGGCUUAGAUUUGAUCCAAUUUUCUGGUCUACAGGGAGAGUAAGCUCAUAAUCGCUGUUGCAGCCUUAAGGACAGAAUAGUUCAUUUAGACAUUCAGAAAACUUAGCUGAUGCAUACUCAGAAAGCCAACCCUUGAUAUGUUAUACUCAGACUGUGGUAUUCCUGGAAGUGUAGAAGCAGAUGCUCCACAACAAGACCAUUAAUACAAACUUUGGGCUUCUCAAAAUGGCAUUUUAAUGAUGAGAAUUAGCUUUGUCACAUCUACAUCGAAAUAUACAGUAACACGUGGAGCUUGCAACAAUCCAAGGAUGUGCUGAGAACAGACUGCUCUGCUUCCAUUGCCAACAUAGCAAGCCCACAACUUAUGAACUCUAACCUAUAAAUCCUUACAGUGUAGGCGGAAAGCCGAGCACCCGAUGGAAACAUGCAGUCACGGGCAUAACGUACAAACUGAUUACAGACAGUGGCGGGAAUCAAAACCUAAACGGUGAUUACUGGCAAUAUAAGGCAAUUGCACUAAACAUGCUAUGGACAGACCAUUGUUUUCAAAUUUGCAAACAAGGGGCGAUAGCAAAUUAGUUAAAUUUACAGGUAAACAAGUACGCAAGCCCCCUAUGGAAGGGUAUAAUCCAACAACCAAAAAAAAGAAUUAGAAUGAACAAUGUCCAUUAAUUAAUGGGCAGCGGAUUUUCUGCUGGACCUUGAUGGCUCCUGAACCCGGUGGGUACUUCGUUCCCAAAGGCUGCAGUGAGAAGAGAGCACGGCGUGACUAAUGAUGGAUGCUGCUUUCCCGCAGCAGAGCUCCAUGUGGAUAUGCUCAGUGGUGAGGAGGGCUUUUGCUAUGACAGGAGAGGUAAAGAGGGCAGUGGGCCAAACACAGAUUGAUGGGACUACUUCACUGGGAAACACAGACCAGCACGCCGUACAACCCUGUGACACAGAGCAACGCAAAGGUUCUGAACAACAACUUCCUCUCGCAGUGACAGAGGAAAUGUCUGCCUUUGCACACUGACCUUUCAAGAGCACAAGAGGUAGAAAACAAUCUGAGCCAUUCCAACACUUCAGUGCCCGUCCUCCUCUAUCGCUGUGAUGUGGCCACUCUCAGGUUGGAGAAGCAACACCUCAAAUUUCUCCUGGGUAGCCUCCAACCAGGUGGUAUGAACAGCAAAUUCUCUUACCUCUGGAAAUUCUACCCCUUUCUUUCAUUCUCACCCCAGCUCCUCUAUUGCCUCUUCUCUUCUUACUUGCCUAUCACCUCCACUUGUGCCCCUCAUCCACCCAUUCUCCCAUAGUCCUCUCUCCUCUCCCAUCAGACUCCUUCCUCUUCACCCAUGUUCCUUUUCCACAUAACACCUCCCAGCUUCUCACCAUCCACCCUCCCCCAUCUAGGGGACCCAUGGAAGUGUAGCAGUUAGGGUAACCCUAUUAUCGCUCGGGGUGUUCCAGAGCUCAGAGUUCAAUUCCAGCGCUGUUCUGUAAAGAAUCUGCACUUCCUCCCUGUGGGAUGCAUGGGUUUUCUCAGGGUGUUCUGGUUUCCUCCACAGUCCAAAGGUUUAAUUGGUCAUUGUACCUUGUUCUGUGAUUUAGGAUAGGGUUUGUCAGAGGUUUCGCAGAAGGGUCUACUACAUACUGUGUCACUAAAUAAAUAAAUAAAUCCACCAGUCCUGCUGAAGGGUUGCAGCCCAAAAUGUUGACUGUACUCUUUUCCAUAGAUGCUGCCUGUCCUGCUGAGCUCCUCCAGCAUCUUGUGUGUGUUGUUAGGAUCUCCAGCAUCAGCAGAUUUUCUCUUGUUUGGAAGUAAAUAAAUCCACCUUGUCUCACCUAGCAUCUGUCAGCUUGUAAUCCUUCCAUCCCCACCCUUUGCAGACCUGAUGAAGGUUGUGAGCCCACUGAUGAAGGUUGUGAGCCCAAAAUGUCUAUAUGUUUACUUCUUUCCAUAGAUGCUGUCUGACCUGCUGAGUUCCUCCAGCAUUUUGUAUGCAUUACUCUGGAUUUCCAGCGUCUGCAAAAUCUCUUGUGUUUACUGAAAACAAUACUGUUGCUUUCACUAGGAUCUUUAAUGAAUCUCACACAGCCUGCUACACUUAACAAGCAACAGAUUGUCUGCGACAGUAUUUGACAUAUGACAGGCCCCCAGGACCCCACACGGCAAGUGGAAUGUUUUAAGCAGCCUACCCACUAUUGAGAGUCUGUCUCAGCAGUCAAUACCCUUUCCUGUUUCACAAACCAUGUAUAAAUCUGAUCUCAUCAGGGAAUUAUGCCUGAAUAAUGGACAACUACCA